AGUGAACGCUGGCGGCAGGCCUAACACAUGCAAGUCGAACGGCAGCGCAGCAACGGCUUGCUAUGAGGGGCGGACGGUGGAGGAAGACAGCGGAACACGCCCGAACCUACGGGUUAACGGGGCGUAACGUAUGCAAAUUUACCCUAAGACCUCCUGCUACAAGCGGGGGAACGCAAGGGAUUUUCGGGCCUUGCCGGCUUGAAGGAGCUGAUGUCGGAUUAGGUAGUUGGCGGGGUAAAGGCUCACAAAGGCAACGAUCUGUAGCUGGUCUGAGAGGAUGAUCAGCCACACUGGAACUGAGACACGGCCCAGACUCCUACGGGAGGCAGCAGUGGGGAAUAUUGGACAAUGGGCGCAAGCCUGAUCCAGCCAUGCCGCGUGCGUGAAGAAGGCCUUCGGGUUGUAAAGUGCUUUUGUACGGAAAGAAAAGCAGUCGGUUAAUACCGGAGUGUCCUGACGGUACCGAAAGAAUAAGCACCGGCUAACUUCGUG
RNAcentral lists this ribosomal RNA (492 nucleotides) under uncultured bacterium. Its description in RNAcentral is "partial 16S ribosomal RNA". It matches the Rfam family "Bacterial small subunit ribosomal RNA", at positions 29 to 507 of the family's 1533-position model. The record is from RNAcentral.